AUCAGUAGAGCUUUUAUUUAUUGUCACAGCGCCGGGCCUGAUGGAAUCCUCUGUGACACUCAGAUUACGUGUGGUCUAAACCGCUUGAUGUCCCUGUAAACCACCGCUUUUC
Long non-coding RNA from Nothoprocta perdicaria, 112 nucleotides. RefSeq lists it as uncharacterized. The record is from RefSeq and is a predicted model, not a curated record. Lineage: Eukaryota; Metazoa; Chordata; Aves; Tinamiformes; Tinamidae. The transcript is spliced from 2 exons.